AUGAACGCUAGCGGCAGGCUUAACACAUGCAAGUCGAGGGGCAGCAUGAGACGGAGAUUCGUCGAAGUCUUGAUGGCGACCGGCGCAAGGGUGCGUAACGCGUGAGCAACUUGCCCGUUUCAGGGGGAUAACCGGUGGAAACGCCGACUAAUACCCCAUAGUAUUGAGUUUAGGCAUCUUUACUCAAUUAAAGAAUUUCGGAAACGGAUAGGCUCGCGUGACAUUAGCUAGAUGGCGGGGUAACGGCCCACCAUGGCGACGAUGUCUAGGGGGUUCUGAGAGGAAGGUCCCCCACACUGGAACUGAGACACGGUCCAGACUCCUACGGGAGGCAGCAGUGAGGAAUAUUGGUCAAUGGUCUGACGACUGAACCAGCCAUGCCGCGUGAAGGUCACGGCCCUAUGGGUCUUAAACUUCUUUUGCGAGGGAGCAAUAAGGCGCACGUGUGCGUCGAUGAGAGUACCUUGCGAAUAAGCAUCGGCUAACUCCGUG
RNAcentral lists this ribosomal RNA (492 nucleotides) under uncultured bacterium. Its description in RNAcentral is "bacterial SSU rRNA". It matches the Rfam family "Bacterial small subunit ribosomal RNA", at positions 29 to 507 of the family's 1533-position model. The record is from RNAcentral.